GAUGAAGAACGUAGUGAAAUGCGAUAAGUAGUGUGAAUUGCAGAAUUCAGUGAAUCAUCGAAUCUUUGAACGCACAUUGCGCCCGCCAGUAUUCUGGCGGGCAUGCCUGUUCGAGCGUCAUUUCAACCCUCAAGCUCAGCUUGGUGUUGGGACUCGCGGUAACCCGCGUUCCCCAAAUCGAUUGGCGGUCACGUCGAGCUUCCAUAGCGUAGUAAUCAUACACCUCGUUACUGGUAAUCGUCGCGGCCACGCCGUAAAACCCCAACUUCUGAAUGUUGACCUCGGAUCAGGUAGGAAUACCCGCUGAACUUAAGCAUAUCAAUAAGCGGAGGA
RNAcentral lists this unclassified non-coding RNA (333 nucleotides) under soil metagenome. RNAcentral's name for it is "partial contains 5.8S ribosomal RNA, internal transcribed spacer 2, and large subunit ribosomal RNA". The stretch from base 1 to 120 matches the Rfam family "5.8S ribosomal RNA", at positions 35 to 154 of the family's 154-position model. The record is from RNAcentral.